AGAAUAUUAAUUAGAGAUAAAUAUUAGAGACUAAUUGGAAUAAGUGAGUAGAAAUUAUCACACAAAUAGAACACCAUGAUUUGUGGUCUACAUGUUAUUAAACAAAUGCUAAGAAAGAAUCAAAGCGGGACCCACACUUUGAUUAUGAACCACAUGACCAAAGCCAUAUCUCUUCAAUUUCAUUUUUCAUUUGCUGAACUGAAAGAGCACUCAGGAAACAAAGACUCCCUCACCCUCUCUCACGCCUCCCACCCUCAUCUCUACCUUUCCAUUUAUUCAACAAUCAAACAUGGAAGAUUCUUGCAUGCAAUCCACUCAUUAGUUUCUUGGGUCAAUUAGAGCAAGGAACAAAGUAUUGAUUAAAACCUCAAAGAUUCGGAGGUUUGAGUAAAAGGGGUCAAAUUGGAAGUUGAGAACUUAGUGGCAAAAAUAAGAAGUUCAUGGAGAUAGAGAAGUUGGGGAAAAGCUUGAAGCUUGGAGUUUCAACACUUAAUUCAUGAUUCUACGGCCGCUGGAAGUGGAGGAUGGCAGCAAAAGCUGCAUUUUGCUUACUGCAACAGCUCACCUAGCGAGCAGGAAGGUCUCUCAAUGACCGUAGCAGGGCAACAGUUCUUCUGCAUCUUUGUCAAACCAUUCUUGAAUAUUGGUAAGAAAACUUAGAGCUCUUUUCCUUUCAUUCAGAUUUCAGAAUCAGCAUAUUCUUCGAUGUUAGAAAAUGUCAUUAAUUCCAUUCUUGGUAUUUACAUGUGGUUUUUGUGGUGAAUGAGGCUUGGUUAAAUAAUUGGAGCUGAGCAUGGAAUUAAAAGUGGAAUUCAGAACCAUUAUAAAGGAAAAUAGAAUUUAUUAAGAAGCAUUGGAUGCUUGAAUGAUGACUGAGGAUGUACGAAUCAGUAAGGACAAUUGUUGAAACAAGGAAACAAAGAAGACUGGAAAUAUUUAUGGAAAUUCGUAUGCUGGAUGUACCCUCACUAAAAUGGUACCAGCCUAGUGAGAUGUAAUGGAGAAAUGAGGUCUCGACGAAUCUUUAAAGUGAAAGGUCCAACACAGAAUUUAUGCAGAAAGUGUUUGGGAUUGGGCUGCACUCAAACGAAUUGUGGCCAGUAGGUAUUUUUGAAGUUGGAACUCUGAUGCUGGUAUUAUGCAGAAAAAUCUGCACACAAGUUUGGAGUAGUUUCGUUGCAAAUUCUGCUUUUCGACGAGUUUCGGAAAUGUCGGUGGUAUGGUUCAAGCGUCGAUUUCAGAUAAACAGGUUGAUCAAGAUAUCAUGUUCUACAAGCAUGGAGUUCAGAUACUUGGAUUAUGCUAGUUGAGCUGACGUCAUGUUAUCUUAUAUUUGUAUAAGAUUUAGUUUCUUUAUGUUUUCAGUUGUUAGCUCAAUUUAGUAUUAAUCUCUUGGAUUUUGUAAUCCUAUUUAUGUAUUCGGACAAUAUGUAAUGAAAAUUUAAUGUUUCCCGAUUCAGUUAUGUACACUCUUAUCGAUAUUCUAGAUAAAUUGACAUGGGGUGUUAUAAUUGGUAUCAGAGCAGGUCGAUUCACUAUCGGACCUUGCCGCGGAUCAUUAAAAUUCAAUCCAUAGUAGUACGGACCCUUUGGAGUCUGGACUGUUUACGCUGAAAUCAUCGCGUGUUGAGCCUGAUCAACUCAAUAUCGUGUAUGGUAGGCAGGGUAUUACGGUUGAGAACCGAAGUGGACCAAGGAGGUCAAGUAGUAAGAAAGAAGUAGAAGCGCAUACUCAGAUGAAAGUAUUAACGGAGACCGUUAGAAGUGGAUAUCGGAACUGCAGCAGUCGACGCCACAAGAAUAAGUUGAGUAACGCCAACAAGUGGCGCACAAAAUUGAGAAUAGUACGUGGCGUAAUACCAGUAGUAAUAGGCAUAUCAAGACAUGCACGAACCGAACGCACUCAACUGACGGUAUCGGGUUUAAAGAUAUGGAGAAUUCUGGGAUUGGAAACCUGGUAUCAAAGUAAGUUUUGACCGGAGUGGAACCAAGACCGAGUAUUGAAGUACAAAAUAUUGGAAAAUUGUUGUAAGUCUGAUGGGCGCAUAAAUACAUAUGAUGGAAUUAUAAGAACAUUACAUGCCCCAAUAAGAUAAGUUCAGCCUUUCAGUUCGUAACUAGUAUCCUAGUCAGACCCGUAUCAGCCAAGUUUUGUUUGAGUAAUGACUGAAAUUAAUUCUAAUACUAUCAGUUACCUAAGCUGGCAUAUUAAGUGUCAUUAUCAUUGAUUCAAGAACAAGUAAUGCAGUUUUGUACUAGCAUCAAGAAGUCGCCGAACAAUUUUUCGUAUUCAAACCUCUCAACUAAUAACCCAACAUACUCGGUUAAACCUUUUGUGAGAAAUUAUCAGCUGAGUCAUAAUGAGAAUCAAGUCUGUUCCAGUUCCAGAGAUUAGUCAGUUAAGAGAAAUCAUGAAGUAUGAACGUACUGCAAUAGAAUUAUGAUCUUCAGUUAGCUACCCUUUCACCUGAACUUUAAUUCAGCUAAAUUUAUCGAACUGAUGCGAUGCAUGAUACAUAAGCAAUAAACCUUAUUAAGUUAUGAACAUUAAGUUUCCCGAGCCUAUCUAAUCAUGAUAAGAGAGAGAUAAAUUAUUUUGGUGUUUGGAACCUAUCAUUUACAUUUAGUACAAUAAUUCAAUUAAUUUGCGAACCUUUCUAAUUCCUUAAUAUCAGUGAAUUGGAUUCACGGAUAGAGUGUUAUCAUUAUGUAAAUCUGACGAAAUGUCUUAAGCUUUCCAGCUUUGUUGUUAGUAAUCAGUUCGGAUUCAGGUAAGUUUUUUUAAGUAAUAGAGUAAUUGGCGGGAGCAAUAAGGGAAGUAAAUACUAGAGAGGACUGAAUGUAGCUGAGGUCGGUGAAGUGAUAAGAAGUGAAGUGUUGCAGACAUGUUAGAUGGCGGUAAAGUAUUAUGUAUAUGAUGGUGUGCCUAACGUCACUAAGCGAUGCAAGUGCUACUUGUGAUGUCUACGGUACGAGAAGUAUUAAUAGAAGAAAUAACAUCGGAUAAGAUGAGAUGAUGUGAAACAGUGUCUGAGAAGUUACAACUAAGAAUGUAAUGAUGUGUAUAGAGAAUGACAGUAAGUAGUCGAAUCAGAGUGCGCAGCCGGGAAGUGGUUGAGAAUGUAGUCGGCAGAUUGACUUGUAGGUCAACAACUCUUUGAGAGAGGAAAUCCCUAUUCGAAGGAAUUGAAAGUGGGGAACCGUAAAAUGAUUAAAGAUCGUAUAACGAGUAAAUUACGCAAAUAUUCAUGUUUGGACCUGAGAUUGUUAGUAUAAAAUACCCUUGAGAGCAAAGAUUGUGAAGGUAAAACGGUUCACUUGGGAAGUUUGACGCGGUGAACUAGUUAGAUUAAGUAUGCUUCGGCAUUGAAUUGAAAAGUGCAAAAGAAGGAAAGUUACGCUGUGAGCGUUAAAGUUGAGGAAAAGUAACAGAGGGAGCUAAUAUAAGAUGAGUGUGUACCUAAAAGUUGCAUUAUGGGCUAAGAUUAUGAGUUCAACGUCAUGGAAUAAAUGAGUAGAAUUUCCGAAAGUAUCAUAAGUGAACGCCAACGCAGUGAAGAAUGACGAUUACUAACCUUGAACGAUAAAUUAUGAUCAAUUAAGAAACGAAAUCCAGAAUCUGGAAAUGGAUUAUAGGCAAUGUACUUGGUGAUGAAUGAAGAAGUUUUUGAAUUUCGCGGACGAAAUUCUUUUAAGGGGGAUAGAUUGUAACAUCCCAACUUUAAUUAAUAGUAGAAUAUUAAUUAGAGAUAAAUAUUAGAGACUAAUUGGAAUAAGUGAGUAGAAAUUAUCACACAAAUAGAACACCAUGAUUUGUGGUCUACAUGUUAUUAAACAAAUGCUAAGAAAGAAUCAAAGCGGGACCCACACUUUGAUUAUGAACCACAUGACCAAAGCCAUAUCUCUUCAAUUUCAUUUUUCAUUUGCUGAACUGAAAGAGCACUCAGGAAACAAAGACUCCCUCACCCUCUCUCACGCCUCCCACCCUCAUCUCUACCUUUCCAUUUAUUCAACAAUCAAACAUGGAAGAUUCUUGCAUGCAAUCCACUCAUUAGUUUCUUGGGUCAAUUAGAGCAAGGAACAAAGUAUUGAUUAAAACCUCAAAGAUUCGGAGGUUUGAGUAAAAGGGGUCAAAUUGGAAGUUGAGAACUUAGUGGCAAAAAUAAGAAGUUCAUGGAGAUAGAGAAGUUGGGGAAAAGCUUGAAGCUUGGAGUUUCAACACUUAAUUCAUGAUUCUACGGCCGCUGGAAGUGGAGGAUGGCAGCAAAAGCUGCAUUUUGCUUACUGCAACAGCUCACCUAGCGAGCAGGAAGGUCUCUCAAUGACCGUAGCAGGGCAACAGUUCUUCUGCAUCUUUGUCAAACCAUUCUUGAAUAUUGGUAAGAAAACUUAGAGCUCUUUUCCUUUCAUUCAGAUUUCAGAAUCAGCAUAUUCUUCGAUGUUAGAAAAUGUCAUUAAUUCCAUUCUUGGUAUUUACAUGUGGUUUUUGUGGUGAAUGAGGCUUGGUUAAAUAAUUGGAGCUGAGCAUGGAAUUAAAAGUGGAAUUCAGAACCAUUAUAAAGGAAAAUAGAAUUUAUUAAGAAGCAUUGGAUGCUUGAAUGAUGACUGAGGAUGUACGAAUCAGUAAGGACAAUUGUUGAAACAAGGAAACAAAGAAGACUGGAAAUAUUUAUGGAAAUUCGUAUGCUGGAUGUACCCUCACUAAAAUGGUACCAGCCUAGUGAGAUGUAAUGGAGAAAUGAGGUCUCGACGAAUCUUUAAAGUGAAAGGUCCAACACAGAAUUUAUGCAGAAAGUGUUUGGGAUUGGGCUGCACUCAAACGAAUUGUGGCCAGUAGGUAUUUUUGAAGUUGGAACUCUGAUGCUGGUAUUAUGCAGAAAAAUCUGCACACAAGUUUGGAGUAGUUUCGUUGCAAAUUCUGCUUUUCGACGAGUUUCGGAAAUGUCGGUGGUAUGGUUCAAGCGUCGAUUUCAGAUAAACAGGUUGAUCAAGAUAUCAUGUUCUACAAGCAUGGAGUUCAGAUACUUGGAUUAUGCUAGUUGAGCUGACGUCAUGUUAUCUUAUAUUUGUAUAAGAUUUAGUUUCUUUAUGUUUUCAGUUGUUAGCUCAAUUUAGUAUUAAUCUCUUGGAUUUUGUAAUCCUAUUUAUGUAUUCGGACAAUAUGUAAUGAAAAUUUAAUGUUUCCCGAUUCAGUUA
This is a long non-coding RNA of Trifolium pratense (red clover), 5196 nucleotides long. RefSeq lists it as uncharacterized. The transcript has 7 exons. Lineage: Eukaryota; Viridiplantae; Streptophyta; Magnoliopsida; Fabales; Fabaceae. The record is from RefSeq and is a predicted model, not a curated record.